AUGAUUGCAGUGCUACUUGCAGAAAUAAAGAGAUCGGAAGAGCGGCUCUUCCGAUCUCCGAGCGCCCUGCCUCAGCUGCGGGCCCGGGGGGCCCAGCGCCGAGCACACGGCGGCACACGGGGCUCUCCGGGCAGCGCCGCAACACCUCCGGCACCGAGGGCGGGCCAGCCGGGCCCUCGGGCCCGCAGCCGAACCCGGGAGACCCGCACCGCUGCGGCCCGGCCUUUAGCGAGGCCAAGGGCAGAGCAAGCGGGGCCGGAGAAGUUUGAUCCCCGUGCCCCGGCCCGGCCCCUCACGGGACCAGCCCCCGGGCAGAGUGUGGGGCCGGCGGAGUUCGAUCCCCGUGCCCCGGUCCGGCCCGGCCCGUCACGGGACCAGCCCCCGGACAGAGUGUGGGGCCGGCGGAGUUCGAUCCCCGUGCCCCGGUCCGGCCCGGCCCGUCACGGGACCAGCCCCCGGACAGAGUGUGGGGCCGGCGGAGUUCGAUCCCCGUGCCCCGGUCCGGCCCGGCCCGUCACGGGACCAGCCCCCGGACAGAGUGUGGGGCCGGCGGAGUUCGAUCCCCGUGCCCCGGUCCGGCCCGGCCCGUCACGGGACGCCGUUCACGUUGCGGUUGGAUUUGAUGGUCCCUGUGGGUCCUUCCCGACUCGGAAUAUUCUGUGAUCCUGAUGGAUUCCUGCCCCAGCCACCGCCCUAUGCCAUCGGCACUCCGUUUUUUAACGUUCCCCUUAUUUUUUUUUUUCUCUUUUAUCUUUUUUUGGACAAGACCACAGAGUUGUCAAUAUGAGCAGGAAAAUUAAAGUUCAGAGGAAGAGAGAGGGCUCUGGUCUACCCAAAAUGCUGCCACCGCCCUUGCAGUCAUUUUACACAGACAACUGCUAAAAACUAAAAGUACACACUGGUCCCAUGCCCCACGCAUUGGGUUUCACACACAAAUCCACAGAGCCGGAGACAUCCCCAAGUUCACUUUCUAGAGCUGGUUUCCACCAUCUCAUGCCAGGCAGGGAAUAACACAGCAGUGGCUGAUAGGUAGGUCCAGACUGUGCCCAUGGCACAAACAGAGCCCGUCUGCAGUUUGUGAUGUGGGUGUGGGACUGCUCUCCAAAGCAGAGCUGUGAUCGUUGCCAGCUAAGCCAUAAAGGUGUUAAACGAGUAGGGGGAGUGUUUACAUCUAAAUCACGCUGAUGCGACUGAGGUUCUCCAUUCCUCAGCUUGCCAAGGAAGCAGAAAACCACAAGUUCCAUACGGGUUUUAUAAGAGGAAAAAUGAGACUGUUUCAACAGCCUGCAAAGCCGUGACCAGCUGGACCGUGGCAGACUGUAAGUGUGUAAUAAAUGGACUACACAGCUACCAAAUUUUCCUCCAAGGCACAAUGAAAAUGUUAAUUAAUUACCAUUGUGCAAUCCUUUAUACUAUUCAGAUUACUUUUAAAGUAAGAUUAUUGGUAGACUUUACCAAGACAAAUAUUGAAAACAGAUUAGUGCAAACACUCCCACUUAAAAAAAAAAAAUCUUUCCCUCCCAUCCCACCUGAUUGUGCUGAAACUUAAUUUGGGAGGUUUUGAUGAUGAAACGGUAUCUGGCAUAAGACGUGUCUGAUUUGAGAGAAACAGACCUUCUCAUCUCAAUAUGAUUUCCUCCUCUUUCUCCAUUUUCACUACAAAAAGGCUGACUGGUUCUAUCUUGACUUAAACAUAGCAUUUUGGGUUGCACAGAAAAGCGAGUGACCCAUUAGGUCAAUUAAACGCAAACACGAACACGGUUUCAAGUUCAAUACUUUCUUUCCUCUGGCAACAGAAAGAGAACACUAAGCAUGUAAACAGUUACAUCAUGUUGCCUAAAAUGUGUUGCUCUAGGAGAGAAACACGCAUCCUACAGAUUUCUGGCGUACUAGAACAUGCAAAAAGACAAAAAGCCAAAAUAAACAAAACCAAAAAAACCCCCCAAAACAACAGGAAAACCACCACCACCACAACCCCAAAAAGACAGAGAUGUCACAGUGCUGGCACAAAGUACAAAUGCUCAUCUAAAUCUAGGAGAAAAGUGUGUAAGGCUAUUUAUCAGAUGGAUGCUCUGUGAAAAUACAUUAAACCAAAGCAUAAAUUACUUUCAAAGACAAUGCACAUCGUAAGCAUCUCUUUUAUUUAUUGUAAUGUAAAG
RNAcentral lists this long non-coding RNA (2159 nucleotides) under Ficedula albicollis (Collared flycatcher). RNAcentral's name for it is "lncRNA (ENSFALG00000026764.1)". The record is from RNAcentral. Lineage: Eukaryota; Metazoa; Chordata; Aves; Passeriformes; Muscicapidae.